Molecule: ribosomal RNA, 406 nt
Filed under: uncultured bacterium
Lineage: Bacteria
Description: partial 16S ribosomal RNA
Rfam family: Bacterial small subunit ribosomal RNA
Source: RNAcentral
GACGAACGCUGGCGGCGUGCCUAAUACAUGCAAGUCGAACGAGUGGCGGACGGGUGAGUAACACGUGGGAACCUACCCAUCAGAGGGGGAUAACUACUGGAAACGGUAGCUAAUACCGCAUACCAUCAGAUGAACCCAUAUGGGAUUAGCUUGUAGGUGAGGUAACGGCUCCCCUAGGCGACGAUCCCUAGCUGGUCUGAGAGGAUGAUCAGCACCACUGGGUCUGAGACACGGCCCAGAUUCCUACGGGAGGCAGCAGUGGGGAAUAGUGCCCAUUGGACGCAAGCCUGGUGCAGCCAUGCCGCGUGUAUGAAGAAGGCCUUCGGGUUGUAAAGUACUUUCAGUCGGGAGGCGUUACCGACAUAAGAAGCACCGGCUAACUCCGUGCCAGCAGCCGCGGUAAUAC